GAUUGAUGAAAGUUGAGAAAACAAGAGUUAAAAGAGGUCAAAGGAAGGAAAUAGGCAAAAGCUAGCGAAAUUAGAUGAAAUGACCAAAAUGUAUGAGAUCCAAAGUUCGAGGAUUAAAAUGCAAUUAAUCAAAAGUCAUGUCGAAACUUGAAAUGAAGAUCUGAGAGUUCUAGAAGCCAAUUGGAUGAAGGAAGGAGUCAAAGGGAUCAAAUUUAGUCAAGAUAUGAUCAUAAAUCAUUCUCCAACCAAAAAGUUUUGCGCCGGAGUUUUGGUCUCACAUUUAGACUCAUUAUCUACAUAGAAAACGAACGAAUUGAGAAUGAUUCUUGAAGCAAAAUUGUAGUCCUUUGAAUUAUCUUUUCAACGCAUCUUGAAUCACUUCAAUCGGAUAUCGAACGAGAAAGUUAUGCUGAAAAUACUAAAAGAUGCGUAGAAUACCGUUUCGGGCGUACCGGGCGCCGCGGCGCCCAUCUUGCUGAAACAAGCAGAAAGUCAGCACCCAGGCGCUGCAUUCCGAAACAAAAGGAAAUUCUGAUUUUAUAAUAUUUUCUCGGCCCAAUUAGUAACCUGUUGUUCCCUAAAUUCCAAGACACUAUAAAUACACAAUUGAAGACCUAAAUUAGGGGGGAGCCGCACACUAAAAAUCUGUGGAAUCAAGCCACGCGUUCUUGACAUAUUGGACAGAAGACAACAAGAAGGGAGAUUGAAAAGAGAAAUUCAAGAAGAUUAACACCAAGCAAUUGAAGAUUAGAAGCAUUCAUUGGAAGGGGAAGGAGAUCUUGGUGCAAGAAUUCUACUUUUUCUUCUACAUCUUUAUUACAAAUCCGGUGAUGUAUUCUAAGACAAUUUCCUAUUUUUCUUCCAUUAUUAUGAGUAGUUAAAUUUGAUUUUAGGGCGAACAAUGUAAUCUUUUGGAAUCCUUUAUUUCAUGCAAUUGAGAUUCUAGUGCUUUUAUAUUUUA
RNAcentral lists this long non-coding RNA (961 nucleotides) under Olea europaea subsp. europaea. The record is from RNAcentral. Lineage: Eukaryota; Viridiplantae; Streptophyta; Magnoliopsida; Lamiales; Oleaceae.